UCGGGAAUUUUGGGCAAUGGGCGAAAGCCUGACCCAGCAACGCCGCGUGAAGGAUGAAGUAUUUCGGUAUGUAAACUUCGAAAGAAUAGGAAGAAUAAAUGACGGUACUAUUUAUAAGGUCCGGCUAACUACGUGCCAGCAGCCGCGGUAAUACGAAGGGGGCUAGCGUUGUUCGGAAUUACUGGGCGUAAAGCGUGCGCAGGCGGUCUUGCAAGACAGAUGUGAAAUCCCCGGGCUUAACCUGGGAACUGCAUUUGUGACUGCAAGGCUGGAGUACGGCAGAGGGGGAUGGAAUUCCGCGUGUAGCAGUGAAAUGCGUAGAUAUGCGGAGGAACACCGGAUGGCGAAGGCAAUCCCCUGGGCCUGUACUGACGCUCAUGCACGAAAGCGUGGGGAGCAAACAGGAUUAGAUACCCCAGUAGUCCCUGAGCGGGCUGGCAAGGCGCAU
Molecule: ribosomal RNA, 448 nt
Filed under: uncultured bacterium
Lineage: Bacteria
Description: bacterial SSU rRNA
Rfam family: Bacterial small subunit ribosomal RNA
Source: RNAcentral